CCCUGAGCCUCGGAAUAGAUCCGGCCCAACUAGGAUGGACAUAGGGGCAAUGGCCGAGACACCCAUGUGAUUUAUUUUCCUAAGCUUGAGAAUAGACCCGACCUAACUAAAUAUUUUUUAGUUAUACAUAAAAUGGAUCCAAAUUUAAUAGAAAAAUGACUUAAGCCCAAAAAUUUUACUAGAAAAAUCUAAAUUUUAGCUUUUUUAAAAAAAUAAAAAAGUAAGAACUUGAAAAUAUAUAUUUGUUUUUGCUAAAAAAUAAAUACAAGGGCCAUAAAAAGUUUUUGCCCAAGGAUCCCUAUUUAUAUUGGGUCAGGGCUGCUUGCAUGAGUAUAUCACAAUGACACAAUAAAAAAAAAAAACAAAUCCAUCAAUCGCAAAAAUCCAUCUCCCCAACCCAACUCUCGCUCAAAAUCUCAUCCCUCAACAGAUCUAUGAUGAUACAUCUUGAGUAGAGUCACCCAGAUACAUAUUCCAAAUUUCUUGCCAUUAACAACCCAUCAAAUCCUUUCUUAGCCUCAAGCAGAUCCAAAUUUUUUCUACAAAAAUAAGAAAUUUCUUUGAUCCAUGAUUAACCAAAUCGAAAUACCACCAACUAACCAUCCCCAAUCUACUAGCCAAAUCAAUUUCCUCACAAGAAUACCAAGAGAUAGAUUAAACUUAAUCUCCAUUUCCAAACCUAAUCUUCUGUGUCGCCGUCAUCGAAUGCAUGCAUUGGUUUUUUAGACGAAAGUAUCUUUCUGAUAACUUAAUGAAAUUGAUUUUUCACAAGUUGCAGUCAUUGGCCAAUUCUGUUACUUUCGUUGAUCAGUUUGUUUUCAUCUCAAAUAAUCAAGCCUAUGGCAAGUACAUAUAAGGUCAUCUGCAACGCCGGACCACUCCCAUGUUCUUAGCAGUUUUUUAAUCCAAAAAAAUGGGCUAAUGGACUUAAGAUCAGGAACUGGGCUCUAGUCCUGGAUCUGUUCUUGUGGGUGUUGCGGGGUGACGUGUCAUUUCGGGAUUGGUUGGAAAAAUUAGGAAAGGAAACAACAGAUUCAUUUUUUGAGAUUUUUUUUUGUCCUUUUGUCAGUUAAUAAAAAGAGUGUUGUUCGUUAAA
This is a long non-coding RNA of Arabidopsis lyrata subsp. lyrata, 1096 nucleotides long. RefSeq lists it as uncharacterized. The transcript has 3 exons. Lineage: Eukaryota; Viridiplantae; Streptophyta; Magnoliopsida; Brassicales; Brassicaceae. The record is from RefSeq and is a predicted model, not a curated record.